This is a long non-coding RNA of Cercocebus atys (sooty mangabey), 678 nucleotides long. RefSeq lists it as uncharacterized. The transcript has 2 exons. Lineage: Eukaryota; Metazoa; Chordata; Mammalia; Primates; Cercopithecidae. The record is from RefSeq and is a predicted model, not a curated record.
UUCGCGUUUGCACUGUACUUGCUCGUGAAACUGGUGGCACAUACCAUCGUUAUUUUAGAUGAAAGCCAUUACAAAGAGUUGCUCACACAUCAUGUUAGUCCUCCUCCUGCUAGCUCAAGUUCUGAAUGCUCCCUUAUUCGUAUGGGUAAGUGUUUUAUGUUAUUAAAAAUAUGUAUCUAGGCUCUCUAUUUAUUUGCACAAGUAUAUUUUAAUAUUUAAGAAGUUUUAAGAAAAAAUACGCUUGUUGAAGACAUUUUGGAAAGUACAGAGAAGUAAAAAAAAAAAAAAAGAAAAAUCAAAACACAGUUAGUCUGUCACCCAGAAAUACUGUUGGCUUUCUUUAUUUUUAAGGUAGAAAGGUAUAAACUGUGUUUAUAGAAAAAUACUUAUAUUAAGCUGGACGUGGUGGCUCACACAUGUAAUCCCAGCACUUUGGGAGGCCAAGGUGGGCGAAUCAUGAGGUCAGAAGAUCAAGACCAUCCUGGCUAACACAGUGAAACCCCAUCUAUACUAAAAAUACAAAAAAAUUAGCCGGGUGUGGUGGCGGGUGCUGUAGUCCCAGCUGUACUCGGAGGCUGAGGCACGAGAAUGGUGUGAACCCAGGAGGCAGAGCUGGCAAUGAGCCGAGAUCGCGCCACUGCCACUCUAGCCUGGGUGACAGAGCAAGACUCCGUCUCA